Long non-coding RNA from Acipenser ruthenus (sterlet), 1238 nucleotides. RefSeq lists it as uncharacterized. Lineage: Eukaryota; Metazoa; Chordata; Actinopteri; Acipenseriformes; Acipenseridae. The record is from RefSeq and is a predicted model, not a curated record. The transcript is spliced from 2 exons.
UAGUGGUUCGUGCUGGGCUGUAGUCUAGGAGUUAAUGGGUUUGAUAGCUCAGUGUUUAGAGAAAGUGGUGCCCUGCAGAGUGGAAGGCAAUGUGCAUGCUUGUGGAUCUGAGUAUUACUUUUUUAUUCAUUAGUCUUUUAGCAGUCGCUUUUCUCCAAAGUGCCUUCGAGACUAGGGGGUGUACUAUGCAUCAACAACUGCUGCUGCAGUCACUUACAAUAGGACUCCAGUUUUACGUUUUGACUUGCUCAGGGUCACACACAGUGAGUGAGUGGCUGAGCCGGGAUGUGAACCUCCUGGUAUCAAGCCCUUUUCUUUAACCACUGGGCCACUGUCCCUGAGUAGCUCAGGGGGUUGAGUUCUGGGCUACAGUGUGGAAGGCAGUGGGUUUAAGAAGCUCUGUGUUAAAAAUAGACUGUUACUAAUUAUCUUUUCUUUUUUUGUGUAGCUCAUCACUAUCACUACUAUUUCUACUACCAUCAUGGGUACCGCUGCGCUCGCCAUUGGCAUACCUACCGCUGCAGGCGAUGCCAGCACUACUGAGAAGCAGCAGCGCCCAGGGAUCACAGUGCUGGAGUUUACCUGACAGCAGACCUGCAAGCAAAGCUUAAACACACCAGCAUGGCUGUAACCUUUCUGUUGUGGUCCCUCUCCAAACACACAGCUACAGCACCCAUACUUAUUUCUAUCAGGCCAUUCCCAGUUUGUUUAAAACAGCUGCUCUCUGUUGUGCAUUUGGUCAAUCUCUUCAAGGAUAUAUAAUAUGGAAAGUAUGGAAAGGUGUCCUUAUUUAACAUGUAGUCUCAGAUUCUCAGUGAGAUCACAUGCUCACACAUGUUUGAAUAGAAAUACAACUCCACAUGGGCACAUAUACAAAGCGUUACUUGGAGAGCGUGCUUGAUUGAUUUGCCCCAGCUCAUAAUCACUGCACCGAGUCAGAUUUGACCAGUAGACUCCUUUCUUCUCCCAGCUCCUCACAGCCACCCUGUGAUGUCACAAGUGACCCGUGACAGGUCUUGUUCACAGACUGACAAAAACAUUGUGUUUAUAUAGAGAUUUUCUUCAUCUCUCAAUUAUUUUAAAAUAUCUUUAUUUGCGUUCAUGACAACAAAUGCUCAAACCGUUGACCAGUAUAAAUGCUGUCCUGCCGAAACAACACUAUCUGCUGUUACAUGAAACUGGGUAAAAGCCUGUCUCUUUCUGUAAAGCUUUUUAAGCAAUAAAACUAUUAGCAUCAA